Molecule: long non-coding RNA, 1117 nt
Filed under: Anser cygnoides (Swan goose)
Lineage: Eukaryota; Metazoa; Chordata; Aves; Anseriformes; Anatidae
Description: lncRNA (ENSACDG00005002012.1)
Source: RNAcentral
AAAUUGCUGUUUAUGAACCUGCUGUAAACACUUAUGUGAUUCAAGCCUCUUAAAGGACAGUAAAUUACGUGUGAAAAUUUCAUGGCUGAAUAAGUGGCAGUAACAUGGCACUCAUUCUGGAUGCACACAUCAAAGAAAGACAAAAGUUGGAACUUUUAAGAUGGAAAUUAGUGGGUUCUAUGCUUUGUCCUUCUGGAAACCUCAGAUCCAAAACGUCAGAAAUUGGCAUUGUGAAUAUUUGCUGGAAAUCAUCUCUUGAUGAUGAGUUGAAUCUGUCCAAACUUUAUAUCUGGCUAUCUGUAAAUACUAUGUCAACAAUCCUCAACUGCUCAUAACACUACCAGUGAACAAAAGAAAAAAUGAGGAUAUCAUAUAUACCUCUGGCAAAGCAGAUGAAGACUCCAGCCUGAGGACUCCUCCAGAUGAGGACAACCUGAUCAUAUCGGUAAACUCUUAAAACGACUGAGUGUAGGUAAGAAGUUCUUUUCCUUACACAUAUACAGCAGAGAUGUUACUAGACGGUAACUGCAUGGUGUGGAUAGAAGAACAGAAGACAGUGUGAUAUGUUAGUUCAGAAUACUCCAUAUAAGUGGAAACCCAAUGGAUUAUAUAUUAGGAAUUACCCUACAGCUUUACUGUAUUUCCAAUUCCUCAUGACAGUAGUGGCAGGUGAUGACUCUGCUUAUAUAAAAGUAUGUGAUAUAAACUGGAACAUAAUUUGGAUAACCACCAAUAUAGAGGAAGUUCAAAAACUUACUUUAUAUUGAGCAUAGUAGCAGUCCCAAACCUGUGGGACUGGGAAAUAUGAAUUGGUGGGAUGAUGAAGGUGAUACAGAUUAAUUUCUGAUUCAGAGGGUAGGGGUAAUCAGUAGGAAUGGGGAAUAAGAGGAAAAAAUGGAUUGUGAUUGUGAGGUUGAGGAGAAUGGAGGAGGAAGUAGAGAUGCAUUCAAAGCUGAACAUGAGCAAAGCUUCUUAUAUGAAACAAAAUUGGAGAAGUUCUAUAAUGUUAACUUAUUUUAAAGAUAUUUGAUCUAUGUAGCAUCAAAGUUCAGGUUCGAGUACUAGAUACUUUUAUAGCUCUGUACAGAUAAAAAUAAAAGGGGAGGGUGAAUGAGCA